RNAcentral lists this ribosomal RNA (233 nucleotides) under uncultured bacterium. Its description in RNAcentral is "partial 16S ribosomal RNA". It matches the Rfam family "Bacterial small subunit ribosomal RNA", at positions 15 to 240 of the family's 1533-position model. The record is from RNAcentral.
GAUCUGGCUCAGGGUGAACGCUAGCUACAGGCUUAACACAUGCAAGUCGAGGGGCAGCAUCAUCAAAGCUUGCUUUGAUGGAUGGCGACCGGCGCACGGGUGAGUAACACGUAUCCAACCUGCCGACAACUCUGGGAUAGCCUUUCGAAAGAAAGAUUAAUACCGGAUGGCAUAGUCUUCCCGCAUGGGAUGAUUAUUAAAGAAUUUCGGUUGUCGAGUGGGGAUGCGUUCCA